RNAcentral lists this small nuclear RNA (146 nucleotides) under Microtus ochrogaster (prairie vole). RNAcentral describes it as "U1 spliceosomal RNA (ENSMOCG00000006464.1)". Lineage: Eukaryota; Metazoa; Chordata; Mammalia; Rodentia; Cricetidae. The record is from RNAcentral.
ACACUCAGCAGGAAAAAUAACAUAACUAUGGAGGUGGUUUUCCAGUGUCUUAUCUAUUGCACUCUGCUGGCCCCUGGAAUUUCUCCAAAUGAAGAGAAUUCAACUGUUUAAUUUGUGGAAGUGGGGGACUGUAUUACAGAAAUUUA